Molecule: long non-coding RNA, 2117 nt
Organism: Dermochelys coriacea (leatherback sea turtle)
Lineage: Eukaryota; Metazoa; Chordata; Testudines; Dermochelyidae
Exons: 3
Source: RefSeq, a predicted model, not a curated record
UCUAAGGUGCCACGGGUACUCCUUUUCUUUUUGCAAAUUUCAAAACUAUCCGAGUAACCAUUUAGGUUUUUAGAGCACUUACAAGAUUUGAGCUUUAAAACAUAUAAGAUGGCAGGAAUAGAAACUCUGUAGCCGUUUUUUCUAUAUUGGCAUACCCACACUAUAAAAGAGUACAUUUUCCUACAUACGGUUCUCCAUUUGGGCCUCACUAAGAUUUAGUGAGUGCCAUGCACUACUUUGAAUAAAACUUGACAGACUGAGACUAUUUUAACCACUUCUUCAACCCCACAUAGAAACGUUUUUGUUUUUUUUUAAUUGCUGUUUUUUGGGGGCUUAUAUCUCUGUAACCCCUGGUUCAAAUGAUUCAAAAUUUGGGUCACUGGAGCUAUCCUGCACCCUCCUGGGGCAGACAAAAUUUCAAAGAAAUCUGAUGAAGGCCUGGUCUACACUAUAGAGUUAGGUCGACAUAAGCUGCCUUGCAUUGACCUAACUCUAUAAGCAUCUACAUUAAAAUGUCACUUUUGCCGAAGUAACUUGCCUGCUAUGCCAACUUUACUCCACCUCUGCGAGAGGCAGAGUCCUUGGGUCGACGCAGUGUCAGUGUAGACACUGCAUUACUUACAUUGUCUUUCAUAGCCUCUAGGAGGUGUCUUGCAAUACUCCACCUUGACCGCUCUGGUCGCCGUUUUGAGUUCUGCUGCCCAGUGACCAGGUACACAGGUAUAUUCCCCUCUCUUUUAAAUCCUGUGAAAUUUUCAAUUCCAUUUCCUGUCUGCUUGGCAUGGAGAGCUCACCUAUUGACUGCCCAGCUGACUGUGCCAGCUACAUGCUGCAGACGCGCUCCUUCCUGGAAUAUGCAAGAGGUCAUGGUUCUCCGGAGUCUGUGGAGAGAAGAGGGUGUGCAGGGACAGCUCCGAUUGAGCCGUAUAAAUGUCGAUAUCUACAAGCAGAUUGCUUAAGGCAUGGAAGAGAAGAUCCACGAGAGAGUGCUGCGUGAAAGCCAAGGACCUGCAGCAGGCGUAUCAGAAGGCAAGGGGGGCUAACAGUUGCCCUAGUUCAGAGCUGCAUCUGUUUUUACGAAGAGCUGCAUGCCCUCCUCAGCAGAGACCCCACCACUACCCCCAAAAGUCCCAUGGAUGGUUUGGGAGAGCAGGAGUCAUAGGCCUCCCCUAUGAACAGUGACAAAGAGAAGGAGGAAUAUGGGAAACAGGCGACUGGGGGAUCCAGUGGCACAACAAGCCAGGACCUGUUUUUGAUUCCUGGAAGUCGAGCCAGUCCCUCUAGUCCAGCAUGGGUGAGCCUAAUGCAUGGGGAAGGAAUCUCUCUGAUGGAAAUGUGGCCUUGAGGGUGUCUCUGUCUACACCAGUGGAACGGCUCAGCCACUGAAGGAGGAUAAGGAAGAGGAUGUCUGAUGACCUGUUCCAAGAGAUCUGGCAAGCUGCUGGUGCUUCAGAUACGAAGCACUAGUCUUGGAGGAUCACCCUGGUGGACAGAAUGGACAAAGAUAAAGUGAAGAGAAGAAAAGCACAGGAAAAGGAGAGCUUAUGUCAACCUAACUCUCAAUCUAGCCUCCAAGGAAUCUUCAUGUUCCCCGUGCCGCCUCUUGGGUCUCUGAAAAUACUGCAGGAUCAGGCAUCCUGUGCUCACAAUGCUCAUUGCAGUAGGGGAGAGCUGUACAGCAUCCAUGCCUCUCACACAGAUGGAAGACGCAUGGGUUUGAAGGGCUUUUGAAAAGAGGCACAAAAUGUUAUGGGAUGCAGAUAAAAUUAUGGGAUGGAGAAAACUACAUCACGAGACAUUGAAAUCAUGUUCCCAGUCACCCCUGCGUGACUCGUUUACCCAGAUGAGGCAGUGGAUGCCCUUCCCAAAACACCCUGUGCCAGAUGGUGGCAAGUUGGACAGGAGGAUAGCUACCCCAAGUGCACUGCUCUUUGCAUCGGUGCAAGCGCUAGUAGUGAUGACACGCACCGCUAAUACAAGGAACGUAGCGGGGACAUGCAAAAGCGAUUUAAUUACUGCAAAAAGAAAAGGAGUACUUGUGGCACCUUAGAGACUAACAAAUUUAUUAGAGCAUAAGCUUUCGUGAGCUACAGCUCACUUCAUUGGAUGCAUUUGGU